RNAcentral lists this non-coding RNA (24 nucleotides) under Arabidopsis thaliana (thale cress). Lineage: Eukaryota; Viridiplantae; Streptophyta; Magnoliopsida; Brassicales; Brassicaceae. The record is from RNAcentral.
UCCAAUCGAAACUCCCUGGUGUCC